ACGGUGUAUGAGUCACAAACGAUUGAAGCCCACCAUGGUGGAAGGCCUACGAAGAGAUGUUCAAAGCAUCUCUCGCUUAUCAACUUAAUAAUGGUUUGGUUGAGGGUUUUAGGUCUCAUCACAUAUAAAUAUUCAUUUUAAUCUUUAUUAAAACAAUUUUGGUCCUAUUACAACUAUUGGUCCAUUUGAUUGAACUUAGUUGUAUAUAAUACUCCCACUAUGCUUAUAAAACGUUUUUUAAAGCAAGAGUAUAUGAUACUACUAACAUAAACUUUGCAUUCAUUUG
This 286-nucleotide long non-coding RNA is filed under the name Malus domestica (apple). Its description in RNAcentral is "long non-coding RNA (MDOM_LNC014987)". Lineage: Eukaryota; Viridiplantae; Streptophyta; Magnoliopsida; Rosales; Rosaceae. The record is from RNAcentral.